This 460-nucleotide ribosomal RNA is filed under the name uncultured bacterium. Its description in RNAcentral is "partial 16S ribosomal RNA". It matches the Rfam family "Bacterial small subunit ribosomal RNA", at positions 338 to 795 of the family's 1533-position model. The record is from RNAcentral.
CCUACGGGAGGCAGCAGUGAGGAAUAUUGGUCAAUGGACGCGAGUCUGAACCAGCCAUGCCGCGUGAAGGAAGACGGCUCUAUGGAUUGUAAACUUCUUUUGUACGGGGGUAAAGUCAGAUACGCGUAUCUUUCUGAAAGUAUCUUACGAAUAAGGAUCGGCUAACUCCGUGCCAGCAGCCGCGGUAAUACGGAGGAUUCAAGCGUUAUCCGGAUUUAUUGGGUUUAAAGGGUGCGUAGGCGGUCGUAUAAGUUAGCGGUGAAAUCCUGAGGCUCAACUACGGAAUUGCCGUUGAAACUGUUCGGCUUGAGAAUAGUUGCGGCAGGCGGAAUGUAUGGUGUAGCGGUGAAAUGCUUAGAGAUCAUACAGAACACCGAUUGCGAAGGCAGCCUACCAAGCUACGUCUGACGGUGAGGCACGAAAGCGUGGGGAGCAAACAGGAUUAGAUACCCGGGUAGUC